UACGUAGGGCGCAAGCGUUGUCCGGAAUUAUUGGGCGUAAAGAGCUCGUAGGCGGUUUGUCGCGUCUGCUGUGAAAACCUAAGGCUCAACCUUGGGCUUGCAGUGGGUACGGGCAGACUAGAAUUCGGUAGGGGAGACUGGAAUUCCUGGUGUAGCGGUGAAAUGCGCAGAUAUCAGGAGGAACACCGGUGGCGAAGGCGGGUCUCUGGGCCGAUAUUGACGCUGGGGAGCGAAAGCGUGGGGAGCGAACAGG
Molecule: ribosomal RNA, 253 nt
Filed under: uncultured bacterium
Lineage: Bacteria
Description: partial 16S ribosomal RNA
Rfam family: Bacterial small subunit ribosomal RNA
Source: RNAcentral